This 102-nucleotide small RNA is filed under the name Plasmodium gaboni. Its description in RNAcentral is "small nucleolar RNA snoR14". It matches the Rfam family "small nucleolar RNA snoR14", at positions 29 to 127 of the family's 127-position model. Lineage: Eukaryota; Apicomplexa; Aconoidasida; Haemosporida; Plasmodiidae. The record is from RNAcentral.
AUUUAGGGCCAAUGGUUUCCUAUAUUUUUUUUUUCUUUUUGAAAAAAGAAUGGUAACCUAUAUAAUCUUAAGAUGAUGGCUUAAUCUUCUCACUGACAAAAG